GGAGACGUGGCCGAGUGGCUGAAGGCACCGGUUUGCUAAACCGGCAUAUGGGGUAACCCGUAUCGGAGGUUCGAAUCCUCUCGUCUCCGCCA
RNAcentral lists this transfer RNA (92 nucleotides) under Alphaproteobacteria bacterium CG_4_10_14_0_8_um_filter_53_9. RNAcentral's name for it is "tRNA-Ser". It matches the Rfam family "tRNA". From Rfam's summary of the family: Transfer RNA (tRNA) molecules are approximately 80 nucleotides in length. Their secondary structure includes four short double-helical elements and three loops (D, anti-codon, and T loops). Further hydrogen bonds mediate the characteristic L-shaped molecular structure. tRNAs have two regions of fundamental functional importance: the anti-codon, which is responsible for specific mRNA codon recognition, and the 3' end, to which the tRNAs corresponding amino acid is attached (by aminoacyl-tRNA synthetases). tRNAs cope with the degeneracy of the genetic code in two manners: having more than one tRNA (with a specific anti-codon) for a particular amino acid; and 'wobble' base-pairing, i.e. permitting non-standard base-pairing at the 3rd anti-codon position. Lineage: Bacteria; Pseudomonadati; Pseudomonadota; Alphaproteobacteria. The record is from RNAcentral.